GAUCAUGGCUCAGGAUGAACGCUAGCUACAGGCUUAACACAUGCAAGUCGAGGGGCAGCAUUGGGAUAGCUUGCUAUUCAGAUGGCGACCGGCGCACGGGUGAGUAACGCGUAUCCAACCUCCUGCCAGUAGGGAACAGCCCGGCGAAAGUCGGAUUAAUGCCCUAUGUUCUUCAAUGCGGACAUCUAAGUUGAAGGAAAGAUUCAUCGCUGGCAGAUGGGGAUGCGUCCGAUUAGCUUGCCGGCGGGGUAACGGCCCACCGGGGCGACGAUCGGUAGGGGUUCUGAGAGGAAGGUCCCCCACACUGGUACUGAGACACGGACCAGACUCCUACGGGAGGCAGCAGUGAGGAAUAUUGGUCAAUGGGCGUAAGCCUGAACCAGCCAAGUAGCGUGCAGGACGACGGCCCUACGGGUUGUAAACUGCUUUUAUGCGGGGAUAAAGUGCGGCACGUGUGCCGCUUUGCAGGUACCGCAUGAAUAAGGACCGGCUAAUUCCGUGCCAGCCGCCGC
Molecule: ribosomal RNA, 512 nt
Filed under: uncultured bacterium
Lineage: Bacteria
Description: bacterial SSU rRNA
Rfam family: Bacterial small subunit ribosomal RNA
Source: RNAcentral